CCCUUAGACGUUCUGGGCCGCACGCGCGCUACACUGACCAGUGCAACAAGCAUCCGUCCUUGGCCGACAGGCCCGGGCAAUCUUUGAACGCUGGUCGUGAUGGGGAUAGACUUUUGCAAUUUUUGGUCUUCAACGAGGAAUUCCUAGUAAACGCAAGUCAUCAACUUGCAUUGAUUACGUCCCUGCCCUUUGUACACACCGCCCGUCGCACCUCCCGAUUGAAUGGUCCGGUGAAGCCUCCGGAUUGGCGCGCACCUCGGUGCCGCCGAGAAGUUGGCUAAACCUUACCAUUUAGAGGAAGGUGAAGUCGUAACA
This 315-nucleotide ribosomal RNA is filed under the name uncultured eukaryote. Its description in RNAcentral is "partial 18S ribosomal RNA". It matches the Rfam family "Eukaryotic small subunit ribosomal RNA", at positions 1470 to 1796 of the family's 1831-position model. The record is from RNAcentral.